GCUGCUGAAGUUUUUUACCAAUGUAUCUUGUGUGAUGAUUAUCAUUAUUUCAUUUUAUCAUUAAUUUUUGGCUUUUGUCUAUACGUUAUAGUGUUAUAAGUCAUGAGACUUCAAUAAUUUAAAUUGAUGCUGAAUUGAUAUUGGCUAAGUUUUCUCUUGUGAUUCUAAUAAUUAUACAAUUCUGCCAAAAUAGGAUUUAAACUGAGAUCAUGAUGUUUCCACAAUAGUUACAUGAAUAGAAUGGAAUAUAUGAUAGUAGUGUAUGUAUCUAAACUGUGACUUCUAAACUCGGUGGUUAAUAUUUUGCUGUGU
Molecule: long non-coding RNA, 312 nt
Filed under: Trifolium pratense (red clover)
Lineage: Eukaryota; Viridiplantae; Streptophyta; Magnoliopsida; Fabales; Fabaceae
Description: long non-coding RNA (TPRA_LNC007641)
Source: RNAcentral